RNAcentral lists this ribosomal RNA (401 nucleotides) under uncultured bacterium. Its description in RNAcentral is "bacterial SSU rRNA". It matches the Rfam family "Bacterial small subunit ribosomal RNA", at positions 29 to 422 of the family's 1533-position model. The record is from RNAcentral.
AAUGAACGCUGGCGGCGCGCCUAAUACAUGCAAGUCGAGCGAGAAGACGUAGCAAUACGUUUGUAAAGCGGCGAACGGGUGAGGAAUACAUGGGUAACCUACCCUAGAGUGGGGAAUAACUAGCCGAAAGGUUAGCUAAUACCGCGUACGCUCCUUGGACUUCGGUUCAGAGAGGAAAGCGAUGCCGAGGGUAUCGCGCUCUUGGAUGGGCUCAUGUCCUAUCAGCUGUUGGUGAGGUAACGGCUCACCAAGGCUUCGACGGGUAGCUGGUCUGAGAGGACGAUCAGCCACACUGGCACUGCGACACGGGCCAGACUCCUACGGAGGCAGCAGUAAGGAAUAUUGCGCAAUGGGCGAAAGCCUGACGCAGCGACGCCGCGUGGGGGAUGAAGGUCUUCGGA